This is a long non-coding RNA of Sebastes umbrosus (honeycomb rockfish), 80 nucleotides long. RefSeq lists it as uncharacterized. Lineage: Eukaryota; Metazoa; Chordata; Actinopteri; Perciformes; Sebastidae. The transcript is spliced from 3 exons. The record is from RefSeq and is a predicted model, not a curated record.
UUUUCCUGUUUGGAAACGAUAACAUUACUCGCUCAGGAGUUAACCCCCGUCACUCUACUCAGCCACCAGGAAACACGACA